UUGUUAGUGAAGGAGAAAAAAUACAAAAGAAUUUCACUAUAAUCAUCCAGAAAAAGCAUAGAAUUACUAAGGCAAACAGAUGCAGAUUUCUUCUUAAAAGAAAAGAUUCUGAAACCAAAAAAGAAAAAGGGGGGAAAAAAAGAAAGAAAAACAGUGUAUUGGAUCUUUUGGGAGCCCAUGUUAUCGUCUGUAGCGUGCUCUUCUUUGGUGACCAAUUAUGAUCUCAACUUAUAACUAGCAGCACAGAGAUGAUAGUGGCUCAGUGGAUGCUUUGUCGGAUUGUCCGCUAGUGAUUAUGUUUUACUAUACACAUCUCUCUAUAGAAAAAUACUGUUAAAAAGAACAUACAAAAUGCAAAAUCAAUCAGCCCUUCCCCGACAGUUUUUUCUUCAAAGUUCAAAUACAAAUUCACCAGCGGUUGAGUUGCUAGAAGCUAUUUCUUUCUUGAAAUGUCAAACUUACUUGCUUUUUCUUGUCUCUGAUUGAAGAAACAACUUGAAUACAUCAGGACCUGUUGUGGAUAGGAUCUGAUCCUCUCCUUACUCUUCUUUUGCUUGAUUGGUUUGGAUCGUUUGCCUUGUUUAAAUAUGCUGACUUCUUCUGCAUCUCUGUAUUCAUACUCUGCAUACUGACAUCCUCAAGAAUACGUUGACUGGAUGAUACUGUCCGCCCUGGAUCAGUUUUGCGGUCUCUGGUGGCCAGUUCUAUACUUGUCAAGCCAUAAGCUUGGUUUGAUUGAGCUGCUAGGAACCCAAUACAUAUAAAAACAAUUAGCACCCUAUGAGCACUGACAACCAUUGUCUCUGCUCUGAAAUAAGCAAGAAAGAAGACAAGUAUCUUCUUCUUCUUUUAUUUUAGAGUAAUAAGAGAAUAAGCAGAGAUAAGAUUGUGAUCCUAGUAUUCUUAUGUUCCAUUCCUGUAGAUAGAAGGCUGUUAUUUAUCCCUUAUUGGAUUUGGAGAAGCUUUAAAGCAGAAAAAAAGGCAAGGAGGGCCCCAAAACACCCAGAAAGAAUUUUAGAUUCACCAAAAUUACAAGCCCUGCAUUCUAUAAGCAUAUUAAGGCUGUUGUGGAUGAAUAAAGGGGUAGGAACAAUAUCCUUGAGAAGCCAAGUAUCUUUUUUCAUUUGUUCCCCUACAAUCUCCAUCAUUUGUAUUUGCUUUUGUCUUUUGAAACAACAGGACUACCAGUCUCUCAGACUCUUAGCUGUGAUGCCACAUCAGCCGACUGUGUGCGCUUACGUGGAUAUUCCCUGGGGAUUAAUCAGCCAAUGGCCUGUCCUGUUUGAGCAGCUCAGCUGACAUGGAUACCAUGAGUUUCUAGUUACGGGUCCUACUUUGUGCUUUCAAAGAAUAACAGGAUUGUUGCUGGCGGUUAAUGUUCUAGAAUAACACUCACUUACAAUAUGCGAAUGCCCCACCUAUACAGAUAUCAAG
RNAcentral lists this long non-coding RNA (1434 nucleotides) under Ricinus communis (castor bean). RNAcentral's name for it is "long non-coding RNA (RCOM_LNC001494)". Lineage: Eukaryota; Viridiplantae; Streptophyta; Magnoliopsida; Malpighiales; Euphorbiaceae. The record is from RNAcentral.